CGCAGCCGCGGUAAUUCCAGCUCCAAUAGCGUAUAUUAAAGUUGUUGCAGUUAAAAAGCUCGUAGUUGAAUUUCGGGAUUGACGUGAUGGUCAUGCCUUAAGGGGUAUGAACUGUUACUGUUGAUUUCUCACCUUCUGGAGAAACUUGAUGUCCUUUAUUGGGUGUCUUGCGGAUCCAGGACCUUUACCUUGAAAAAAUUUAGAGUGUUUAAAGCAGGCAUUUUUGCUCGAAUACAUUAGCAUGGAAUAAUAGAAUAGGACGGCAUGGUUCUAUUUUGUUGGUUUCUAGGAUCACCGUAAUGAUUAAUAGGGAUAGUUGGGGGCAUUAGUAUUCAAUUGUCAGAGGUGAAAUUCUUGGAUUUAUUGAAGACUAACUACUGCGAAAGCAUUCGCCAAGGAUGUUUUCAUUAAUCAAGAACGAAAGUUAGGGGAUCGAAGACGAUCAGAUACCGUCGUAGUCUUAACCAUAAACUAUGCCGACUAGGAAUCAGACGAUGUUAAUUUUUUCAAUGACUCGUUU
This 520-nucleotide ribosomal RNA is filed under the name uncultured Entrophospora. RNAcentral describes it as "SSU rRNA". It matches the Rfam family "Eukaryotic small subunit ribosomal RNA", at positions 569 to 1081 of the family's 1831-position model. Lineage: Eukaryota; Fungi; Glomeromycota; Glomeromycetes; Entrophosporales; Entrophosporaceae. The record is from RNAcentral.